RNAcentral lists this unclassified non-coding RNA (368 nucleotides) under Hevea brasiliensis (rubber tree). Lineage: Eukaryota; Viridiplantae; Streptophyta; Magnoliopsida; Malpighiales; Euphorbiaceae. The record is from RNAcentral.
AGAUCUUGGACCACAGAUUGUAACUUUUGUAUCUCAGCAACUUGGUUUUUGGAUCUCGUAGAUAAAUUUUCACACUCUUUUACCUUCCUGUCAAGAACAGUAGAAAGAGACUGCACAUCAGCCCGCAAAUAAUGAAUAUCAGAAGCAGCCUCUUUGUAAGUACUCAAUUGACGUUGCAUAUUUCCCAUUUCCUCAGGGAAUGAGGAAACCAAGGCUUUGAAUUCAGCAAUAAUUUCUUUUCUUCCAGGUUCUCCUGAUGCCUCUUCCAGCUUAGCCUUGAUCAUAUUUCUCUCACUGAUCUGUCUCUGUAUCCCUAUCCCUAAAUCAGCAAUUCUAGAAUCCACAACUGCAGACGAUCUUCGAAAAAC